This 65-nucleotide non-coding RNA is filed under the name Shigella sonnei 53G. RNAcentral's name for it is "ES173 sRNA". It matches the Rfam family "ES173 sRNA". Rfam says of the family: Differentially expressed under several chemical stress conditions. The record is from Rfam by way of RNAcentral. Lineage: Bacteria; Pseudomonadati; Pseudomonadota; Gammaproteobacteria; Enterobacterales; Enterobacteriaceae.
UUUUUACGCCUCAAACUUUCGUUUUCGGGUCAUUUCGUCCAGACUUAAGUUCACAACACCUCACC